CCUACGGGAGGCAGCAGUGAGGAAUAUUGGUCAAUGGACGAAAGUCUGAACCAGCCAAGUAGCGUGAAGGAUGACUGCCCUCUGGGUUGUAAACUUCUUUUAUAUGGGAAUAAAACGUUCCACGUGUGGGAUUUUGUAUGUACCAUAUGAAUAAGGAUCGGCUAACUCGGUGCCAGCAGCCGCGGUAAUACGGAGGGUCCGAGCGUUAUCCGGAUUUAUUGGGUUUAACGGGAGCGUAGGUGGAUUGUUAAGUCAGUUGUGAAAGUUUGCGGCUCAACCGUAAAAUUGCAGUUGAAACUGGCAGUCUUGAGUACAGUAGAGGUGGGCGGAAUUCGUGGUGUAGCGGUGAAAUGCUUAGAUAUGACGAAGAACUCCGAUGGCGAAGGCAGUUCACUGGACUGCAACUGACACUGAGGCUCGAAAGUGUGGGUAUCAAACAGGAUUAGAUACCCUUGUAGUC
Molecule: ribosomal RNA, 460 nt
Filed under: uncultured bacterium
Lineage: Bacteria
Description: partial 16S ribosomal RNA
Rfam family: Bacterial small subunit ribosomal RNA
Source: RNAcentral